Molecule: ribosomal RNA, 424 nt
Filed under: uncultured bacterium
Lineage: Bacteria
Description: partial 16S ribosomal RNA
Rfam family: Bacterial small subunit ribosomal RNA
Source: RNAcentral
AAUAUUGGACAAUGGGGGGAACCCUGAUCCAGCCAUCCCGCGUGUGUGAAGAAGGNUUNNGGAUUNUNAAGCACUUUAAGUUGNNNNNAAGGGCAGUAAGUGAAUACCUUGCUGUUUUGACGUUACGGACAGAAUAAGCACCGGCUACCUUCGUGCCAGCAGCCGCGGUAAUAAGACGGGUGCAAGCGUUAAUCGGAAUUAAUGGGCGUAAAGCGCGCAUAGGUGGUUCGUUAAGUUGGAAGUGAAAGCCCCGGGCUUAACCUGGGAAUUGCUUUCAAAACUGACGAGCUAGAGUACGGUAGAGGGUAGUGGAAUUUCCUGUGUAGCGGUGAAAUGCGUAGAUAUAGGAAGGAACACCAGUGGCGAAGGCGACCACCUGGGCUAAUACUGACACUGAGGUGCGAAAGCGUGGGGAGCAAACAGG